UUGAUCGGAGUUGAGCAUUCCAAUAUAACUCCCCUUCAGACGACUUUUCUGCGCUUGCCCAACAACUUUGGUUUUAUGGACCAGGACCAAUUUAAGCUUAGACCAUGGUCAAGUCAUAACUGAUUGGAUAACAUUCUCUUAAGCACCUGCAAAACUCUAUAA
Molecule: ribosomal RNA, 162 nt
Filed under: Triticum aestivum (bread wheat)
Lineage: Eukaryota; Viridiplantae; Streptophyta; Magnoliopsida; Poales; Poaceae
Description: partial small subunit ribosomal RNA
Source: RNAcentral